RNAcentral lists this ribosomal RNA (253 nucleotides) under uncultured bacterium. RNAcentral describes it as "partial 16S ribosomal RNA". It matches the Rfam family "Bacterial small subunit ribosomal RNA", at positions 524 to 776 of the family's 1533-position model. The record is from RNAcentral.
UACGGAGGGUGCGAGCGUUAAUCGGAAUUACUGGGCGUAAAGCGUGCGUAGGCGGCGCGUUAAGCCAGAUGUGAAAGCCCCGGGCUUAACCUGGGAAUGGCAUUUGGGACUGGCGUGCUGGAGUUGGGUAGAGGGGAGCGGAAUUCCGGGUGUAGCGGUGAAAUGCGUAGAUAUCCGGAGGAACACCAGUGGCGAAGGCGGCUCCCUGGACCCAAACUGACGCUGAGGCACGAAAGCGUGGGUAGCAAACAGG